Molecule: non-coding RNA, 24 nt
Filed under: Mus musculus (house mouse)
Lineage: Eukaryota; Metazoa; Chordata; Mammalia; Rodentia; Muridae
Source: RNAcentral
UUCCAGUGAUGAAUCGUCUGAAGA